This 253-nucleotide ribosomal RNA is filed under the name uncultured bacterium. Its description in RNAcentral is "partial 16S ribosomal RNA". It matches the Rfam family "Bacterial small subunit ribosomal RNA", at positions 524 to 776 of the family's 1533-position model. The record is from RNAcentral.
AACGUAGGAGACAAACGUUAUCCGGAGUUACUGGGCGUAAAGGGCGUGUAGGCGGUUUGUUAAGUCUGGCGUGAAAGCUCUCGGCUAAACCGGGAGAGGUCGUUGGAUACUGGCAAACUAGAGGACGGUAGAGGCGUGUGGAAUUCCGGGUGUAGUGGUGAAAUGCGUAGAGAUCCGGAGGAACACCAGUGGCGAAGGCAAUCCCCUGGGCCUGCACUGACGCUCAUGCACGAAAGCGUGGGGAGCAAACAGG